Molecule: long non-coding RNA, 428 nt
Filed under: Cercocebus atys (sooty mangabey)
Lineage: Eukaryota; Metazoa; Chordata; Mammalia; Primates; Cercopithecidae
Description: lncRNA (ENSCATG00000045407.1)
Source: RNAcentral
CUCCCCAGGUGCACACUGACCCCCGGCCGCCCCCACCUCCGCAGGUGCGCCCUGACCCCGACCGUUCCCUCCUCAGGUGCUCACUGACCCCCAACCGUCCCCUCCCCAGGUGCGCACUGACCCCCGGCCGCCCCCUCCCAAGGUGUGCACGGACCCCCGGCUGCCCCCGCCGCAGGUGCGCACUGACUCCGCGACUGCUGCCUCUCCAGGUGUGCACCGACCCCUGGACUGCCCCGUCUCCAGGUGGCCGUCUCCUACUGCCACCUCCCCAGAUUUGCUAAGUUAUUUCUGAUUAAACCUAAACCAACUCUUCAGCCGCGCCGUCUCAGGGACCCCAAGCCCCGCUCUGGUGGACGCCUGGAGCCGCCGCCUCCCUAGAGUCCACACCCCAUCUUGACUCAAGCCUGCACUGGGUGGGUAUCACAGCG